Molecule: ribosomal RNA, 497 nt
Filed under: uncultured bacterium
Lineage: Bacteria
Description: partial 16S ribosomal RNA
Rfam family: Bacterial small subunit ribosomal RNA
Source: RNAcentral
GAUGAACGCUGGCGGCGUGCCUAAUACAUGCAAGUCGAGCGAACAGACGAGGAGCUUGCUCCUCUGACGUUAGCGGCGGACGGGUGAGUAACACGUGGAUAACCUACCUAUAAGACUGGGAUAACUUCGGGAAACCGGAGCUAAUACCGGAUAAUAUAUUGAACCGCAUGGUUCAAUAGUGAAAGACGGUUUUGCUGUCACUUAUAGCUGGAUCCGCGCCGCAUUAGCUAGUUGGUAAGGUAACGGCUUACCAAGGCAACGAUGCGUAGCCGACCUGAGAGGGUGAUAGGCCACCCGGGAACUGAGACACGGACCAGGCUCCUACGGGAGGCAGCAGUAGGGAAUCUUCCGCAAUGGGCGAAAGCCUGACGGAGCAACGCCGCGUGAGUGAUGAAGGUCUUCGGAUCGUAAAACUCUGUUAUUAGGGAAGAACAAAUGUGUAAGUAACUAUGCACGUCUUGACGGUACCUAAUCAGAAAGCCACGGCUAACUACGUG